GGGACCUGGACGGCCUGGGUCUGUAGCCGUGGGCCCUCCACCCAGGCUCCGCAAGCCCAUCCUACAUCUCCCCGGGCAGGUGUGUUUGCAGGAACAGUCUGGGCACCAUCGUCGUUUCUGACCCCAGGAUCCUUGCGUAGCUUGAAUAACCACCUCUUCAGCCCGCCUUGCUAAGGUUACUGCAUAAUCCCUGCAUUCCUGUCAAGAAGGAUUAGCCAUUUUCUCAGGUGGGAGGAUUCCAGACUCACUGGGCUACUGUCUAGAUCUGCAGUCUCAAUAGCAAUUUUUGAAUCUACUUCCGGCGCUCUGAGACAAGAGGACGUCCUUCUCCCUGGGGACCACCGUGGCAGGUAAAGGAGCCCACGGGGCGGAGACGGCAGGCUGAGGCUGAAUGCUGAGGACACUGGGAGCAGUCACCUUAGUAAACGGCAAGCUUGUCUCUGCUGCUGUCACACUUGCCUCUGCUGUUGAAGACGACAUCACUCUAGCCUCUCCCCACAGGGGUAUGGAGGCCCCCCAUCCUUGGGCUGAGCUGGCUAGUGCUCCUGGAAGUGACUAAAAGGCAGAGAGGUUGCUACUCCUGUCCCUCCCAGGACGGAGGCUGCCGUCCUCUGGAACAGGUGCUUCAAACUGAUGACGGAGCGUGGGGCAAGCUGAGGGCAAAGUAGGCUGGCAGGAGCCCGCCUCCUCCGCAGGUGGAAUAUGGGCGAUAUUCCUUGGACACUCUUGACUACCCAAGAACAAAGGAAAGGGGUUUAAGUGUUUGCCAUGGUGAUGUGGGAAACUAAGGCAAGUGAGAAAUUAAACUCCCUUGCUGCCUACAGCCCACUGACAAGUCCUUGAGGCCAGCAGAGUGACCUCCCUCUAGGAGCUCAGCUGCCUUGAUGAUGACACUUUGCUAUUGGCAAAAGGGAAUCUUGG
This is a long non-coding RNA of Prionailurus viverrinus (fishing cat), 921 nucleotides long. RefSeq lists it as uncharacterized. The record is from RefSeq and is a predicted model, not a curated record. The transcript is spliced from 3 exons. NCBI's taxonomy places the organism in Eukaryota, Metazoa, Chordata, Mammalia, Carnivora, Felidae.